AGAGUUUGAUCCUGGCUCAGAUUGAACGCUGGCGGCAUGCCUUACACAUGCAAGUCGAACGGCAGCGCGGGGGGUAACUCCUGGCGGCGAGUGGCGAACGGGUGAGUAAUAUAUCGGAACGUGCCCUGGAGUGGGGGAUAACUAGUCGAAAGAUUAGCUAAUACCGCAUACGAUCUACGGAUGAAAGUGGGGGAUUCGCAAGAACCUCAUGCUCGUGGAGCGGCCGAUAUCUGAUUAGCUAGUUGGUAGGGUAAAAGCCUACCAAGGCGACGAUCAGUAGCUGGUUUGAGAGAACGACCAGCCACACUGGGACUGAGACACGGCCCAGACUCCUACGGGAGGCAGCAGUGGGGAAUUUUGGACAAUGGGGGCAACCCUGAUCCAGCAAUGCCGCGUGUGUGAAGAAGGCCUUC
RNAcentral lists this ribosomal RNA (413 nucleotides) under uncultured bacterium. RNAcentral describes it as "bacterial SSU rRNA". It matches the Rfam family "Bacterial small subunit ribosomal RNA", at positions 8 to 419 of the family's 1533-position model. The record is from RNAcentral.